GUGCAGCGCCGCGGUAAUACCGGCAGCUCAAGUGAUGUCCCAUAUUAUUGGGCCUAAAGCGUCCGUAGCUGGCCGACCAAGUCUCCCGGGAAAUCCACCCGCCCAACGGGUGGGCGUCCGGCGGAAACUGCACAGCUUGGGACCGGAAGGCUCGAAGGGUACGUUCGGGGUAGGAGUGAAAUCCCAUAAUCCCGCACGGACCACCGAUGGCGAAAGCACUUCGAGAAAACGGAUCCGACAGUGAGGGACGAAAGCCAGGGUCUCCAACCGGAUUAGAAACCCGAGUAGUCC
Molecule: ribosomal RNA, 291 nt
Filed under: uncultured bacterium
Lineage: Bacteria
Description: partial 16S ribosomal RNA
Rfam family: Archaeal small subunit ribosomal RNA
Source: RNAcentral